GUCCCUUCCAAGACAUUCGAUAAAAUUGGAAUGAUACAUAUACGAUUAGUAUGGCCCUUAAGCAUGGAUGACGCGUAUAAAUCGAGAAAGAGUGUUGCUAAAUAUAU
RNAcentral lists this small nuclear RNA (107 nucleotides) under Helianthus annuus (common sunflower). Lineage: Eukaryota; Viridiplantae; Streptophyta; Magnoliopsida; Asterales; Asteraceae. The record is from RNAcentral.